GGGUGAUGGCUGUUCUCUGCUAAGCUGCUUUAGAGCUCUUUUUUAUCCCUUUUAGUAGUUAACUACCUUCUACACAGUUAACAAUUACUUAUAUUAAAACCUUCCUGUUCACAUUUCCUCCUCCUUGGACUAGAUGAUCAAAACGAACAUCCCCACUGUGGGGCAGAUGGGCAUUGUGUGCCUCGAGAUGCGAUGCCCUGAGAGGCCGCGUGACGCAGGUAGUGGUUCAGCCACCUGGAAUGCAAAACCAAAUCUAAUCACGAGGAAAUCGCAGACAAACACAGAUAAGCAGCACCACCUAAAACGAACUGUAUCCUUACAAACUGUUCCUAUCAUCACAGACAAAGCUAUGGAAAUGAUCCAGAUUAAAGAAGACCAAGGAGACAUGACAACUCAACUGAUUACCUGAUCCAGACCAGAUCCAGCACCGCAGAGGGAAAGGUGCUAUAGAGGACACGAUGCGGCCAAUGGGAAUAUGAGUGGUGAGGUAUUCUAUCAGUGUUAGAUGGACGGAAUUUGACAACUGUACUGCAGUCGUCAGAGAGUAUCUUCUUCUUGGUAAGUACCCACUGAGGUAUUAGGGGUAAAAGGCCAUGACAGGUGUGGAGGCAGCAGGAGGGAGGGAGAGGGAGAGACAGGGGGUUGGCGCAAGGGAGAGAGAACGCACACACAUUUGAGAACACACAUGACAGAUAGAAUGGGACGAAAUGUUAAUAGGUGUAUCUGGGCAAAGGAUAUUUGAGCCUCAUUUGUACAGUUUUUAUUCUUGCAACUUUUCUGUAGCUUUGAAAUCAUUUCCAAGUAAAAUUAACUUUUUUAAAAGAGGCCAUACAAUAUAGCAGUGGUCCUCAACCAGGGCUGUGUCCUGGACACACCCUAGAGCACCUUAGAUGCUCUGGGACCCAGGCAUCUGUAGUUCUCAAAGUGCCCCGGUGCUUCCAAUGUGCAGCCACGGGCAGGAAACACCAGCCUAGUGGGUGAGCUCACUCACUAAAUUUCAGACAUGACGAGCAGUGCUUUUGCUCUCUGAAGAACAAGCACUGGGUAAUGCCAACACCUAGCCUCAGCUACACGGGGGAAGGGCAGAAACAAGAUGUUGAAUUUGCAUGGCCCUGGCCAACACAGACAACAUCCCCUUCUAGUGGUUCCCAGGCAAGAGAAAAAGGCAUUUCCAGGACAACUGUGCCAGGAAUUAAACACAAGUUAAAACUGGCAGGAGCUGGAAUGGUUUCCCAGACCUCAGAGCUACCUCCCCACCUCCAUCUUUUUGGUCUCACUGGUAAUAUGGCCAGUCUGGGUCCAGCUGGCAGAGCACACGGGAGGAGGCUGCUCUCUCACCAGGCAAACUGAGGACUGAGUACAGGAAGGGUGUGGAGAAUUAUCCUCUUGGGCAAGUUGAAGAACAAGGCUACUGCUUGGCAUAUUUCCCAAAGCCAUUUCCCACUCUAGAGGCCCUGUUCUGUCCUGUAGAAAGAGUGGAGAACAACCAACAUCACAGUCCAAAUAUUGCUCACCUCAGGGCCAGCCUGUGACAGGGUACCCACAGGAUGGUUCAUAUUGAAAACUGGGGGGACCAUGCUCGGGGGAGGUGGUGGUAGUGAAAGGUCACAAACAUUCUUGCCCACUGUGCAACAGGCAGGGGCAAGAGGUGGGAUGGGUCAGUAGUCACAUGAUAAAUCCCCCGGGGCCUCUGAAAUCACAUUCUGGUAACUUCCACUUUGUGAAAAGGAGUUAGUUUUUACUCCUCUCCUUUCCCGUGUCUUCUCCAUUUUCAGGUGGGACAGAUCUGCAUGAUAUUUGGGCAUCUCAAAACUGACGAGCCCAAAACUGACCAUGAGUCACACCCCCAGAUGUGUUCUCUAACUACUCCCUAGCUCUGUGACUUUGUUUCCCCAGUUGACUGAGCCAGAAACCUGGGACUCAUCCUAGAUGAGUCUUCUCUUCUCCCUUCUCUGUCCCACGUCCAAUCAAUGAUCGAAUUCCACCACUGUCCUGCCUCCAAACAGCCAGAAUCCACCGCUCACCACCGCCCCCAACAGUGCCCUGCUGCCCACUGCUAAGCUCUCUCAACUGCUAUGCCAGCCUAACUGAAGCCCAGUCACACCAAUUCAUCCUGGCUUCAGCACGGCCGGCUUGCAUCACCACCUUCUUCUCAGUUCACCUUCCAAAUCAAACCUCCAAAGAGCUGCUUCCACCUACAAGUCAGCUCUCACCUCCACAGGAUGUUCCGUAAGACACUAGAGGGCCUGGGCUUUCCUGCUUCUCCAACUUCUUUCCCCAGCCUUGUAUUUUAAGCUCCCUGCACACACAAUUUUGUUUCACACUCUUGUGUACCAUCUUUCAACAAAGCCUAUCCAGCCUCCAAGCUUGGGCAUCUCCUCCAGGAAGUCACCCCUGACCUCUCCGGAACUCCCCUUUGGACUCCCAUUCUAUUACUACAACCACUGCAGUGUGAAAAUUAUCUUCUCCUAUGUAUGUCUCCUAUACUAGGACUCCGAACUCCUUGAAGACAAGGACAGUAUCGCCACUGUAUCCCCAGUGCAUUGCACAAAGUAGAGCUCUAUAUUUCUAGGAUAUACUGGACUGAAAGCAUCUGUGGUUUUUUGAAUAUCAAGCCCUUUAGAAUCUGGCAACAGCUAUAACGAAAACACACGUAAACCAUGAUGAACUAUAGACAGCACCAACAAAGAAAACAUGAUACUGCUGCUCUGGAACUGAAAUAUCCCCCAAAUAAUGAAAAAUAAUAUGUUGGGGGCUGAUACAGAGUUUAUUGAAUUAGAUUUUUCUAUUUACAACUGAGAUCACAUCUACAUACUAUUUUGCUAGUCUACAUGGGUACAUUAUUUCCAACAAGCUUAAGACUUACCAUGAAUGGGCUCAUUCAUACAAAAACACACUCACACUAAUUCUUUUAAAACAGUAGUGCAUACAUUAUACUCCUCCUAUAAAGCCAACUUUGAUUAAAAACCACUAGUUUCAAAGCUCAGUCUCUGAUUUUGAAGAUGAACCAAGAUAUACGCCAUAUGAUCCUACAAUCUAUUUUAGUCAUUUUGUACAGCUGCUAUCUUAUUGGACUACAGUAAAUAUUUUUUAAAAGGACACCAAUGAGGGGCACCAUCUGGUGUUAACCUUAACCAGAAAGCUGGUUUCCUCCUCCUCCCCGCAAAAACCUUUGGCCAAGAGUUCUCCACUGUGAAGACUGAAAGGACCUGGUGACAUUUCGGCAUCAGUCCUGUUACCACUUGGAGGUAACAGAAGCAGGCUCGUGUCCUCCUUUAAUUCUACCACACUACAUGACUCGCAAUUGGUUCUGAAAUUAGAACGUUCACCAUCGUACUUAAAAUCUUAGGGGCAUGAAGAGUCAGCUAGAACAAGGAAAAAGAAAGUCGCAGGUAGUAGGUAAGUAGGUGGGCACAUGAAAAGCCAAGCUGCUCUGUCCAACACCAGUGUACAUGUGCUUUAACUAAAUGAACUCCAGAGGCCAACAGCAGCAGACCUGCUCAAUUCACCUUCCAAAUCAGAACAAGACCAAAAAGCUCAGGCUUGAGUUGUCAACUAUGCAUAGGUUCCGCCAGUGAUGAGGAGCUCGUAAGCAGGAUCUCUACUCCUUCUGCACAACACGAUGCAAGCACACAGCAUGCCCAGCAGCUGUUGAAAGAAAACAACAAUGGGGAAAAAAGGCUGAAAACCCUCUCAUGGCAGGUGUGUAUUUCUUUGUUGGUAAAAGAGCUGUUUCAAAGUUCAAUGACUUCAAAUCAUCAAAAAGGCAGUAACAACAGUGAUAGAAGGAAUUUCUUAUGAGUACAUUAUUUUUUAAGGAACUAAGUCCUAAGCUUCAGCUUCCCUCCCAGGAACUCUUCGUAAAGCCAGCAGGGAAUCAAGUCUCUCUUAUUUGGCAUCCCCACUACUAGUCUAGCGAGUGCUGUCCGAAAGAACUUUCUGCAGCGAUGGAGACAUACCACAUAUGCACUGUCAUGUGGCCUCAUGUGACUACUGAGCACCUGAAAUAUAGUUACUGCAACUGAGUUGCACUUUUAAUUUUAUUUAAAUUAAUUUAAAUGUAGACACAUGUGGCUAGUGGCUACCAUUCUGGACAGCAAAGGCCUGGGGAGUAGAAUGAGCAAGAAUGUGUGUGUUUAAUAGUGGUCUUUUCAGGUCUUUUGGUUUUUGGAAAACGAAAUUCAGUAUGUGAAUAGCCCUAUGGUAGAAAACAAAUUCUGAUGCCAAAAAAAAUGUAGUUGGAAGGUUUUUUGUUUCCUUCACAUUCACUAUUUUUGAAAUCCACGGUUCUGUGGUAUUACAUACAUAUUACUUUUGAAAGGUCACUCUUCCGUCAUCAUUUUAUUUCAAUAAGUCCUAAACCUUCUGUGGUAGCAUAUUGGAAUAGUAAUAAAGUCAUGCCAUGUUAUUUUGGAUAAGCAAAAGGAUUAAGCUGGAUUAAAGAGAAAAUGAUUCUAGAAUUUUUGACCUACCUUCUCCCAAAAUAUAAUUUUUUUGUGAGAUAAUUUGCUGUUCUAACUUCUCAUUGAUGAGGAAAAGCCUCAGUUAUUUGAUUUUAAAAGACAGGGUCCUCUGUACAUUUGGGGGUCAAUCUAAUUUCCGCAAAAUGUACCCAAUCCAUAAACAGACUCUCAAAGUUUGAAGUGGAAGAUUAACCACUACUAAGACACACAUACACAUAAGGAUGUCCUCAAUCUGAAUUCUCCAUGGUAUAAAGUCACCCACUCCAAUUUCUACCCUCACAUUAACCUAUAUUCUGCCCAUUCGGGAUAUAUAUUUCCUGCUCAAAUCCAUCAGUUUCACUAUUUCACCACUUGCACCAUUUGCACCAUUUCACCAUUUGCAAAGCACCUUAAACACACUUAAGAGGUGAAUAUUAUUUAAAGUUUACUAAACAAUUUAAGUCAAUUCUAGACCGAUGAAGUACCUAAUUCCUAGAGAAAUACAUUUCUGUUCUCUGUACAUCAAAACAUUGUUAGAACAGCUAUAAACUCAAAUGCAAUUAUGUUCUCAGGCAAUGUUAAAUUGAGCAAUAAAAAUGCUAAGCUCAGAAAUGACUGGUUUGCUAAGGGAAAAAAAAUCUCUCUUCCCACCCCCACCUCCCCACACUCCUUUCAAUUGGUUAACUUCUAUUAGAGAAGCCAGCAUUCUCAAAA
Molecule: long non-coding RNA, 5156 nt
Filed under: Homo sapiens (human)
Lineage: Eukaryota; Metazoa; Chordata; Mammalia; Primates; Hominidae
Source: RNAcentral